CUUCACCGAGCCCAGCCACAGCGGCCGGUCCUCGGCGCCCCGCUCCCGCCCAUAGGUCGCGAGCAGCGCCUCGGCCUC
Molecule: antisense RNA, 78 nt
Filed under: Streptomyces malaysiensis
Lineage: Bacteria; Bacillati; Actinomycetota; Actinomycetes; Kitasatosporales; Streptomycetaceae
Description: ASpks TB sRNA
Rfam family: ASpks TB sRNA
Source: Rfam by way of RNAcentral